RNAcentral lists this long non-coding RNA (456 nucleotides) under Homo sapiens (human). RNAcentral's name for it is "non-protein coding lnc-C1orf189-1:1". The record is from RNAcentral. Lineage: Eukaryota; Metazoa; Chordata; Mammalia; Primates; Hominidae.
UGGUUUCUCUGCUGCUAGUUGUUUUUGGUAUGAGUAGGGUUAAAGCACGAAUUGGGAGCUCUCAGCGACAUCACCAGUCAGCAGCCAAAGACCUAACUCAGUCCCCUGAGGUCUCCCCAACAACCAUCCAGGUGACAUACCUCCCCUCCAGUCAGAAGAGUAAACGUGCCAAGCACUUCCUUGAAUUGAAGAGCUUUAAGGAUAACUAUAACACAUUGGAGAGUACUCUGUGACGGAGCUGAAGGACUCUUGCCGUAGAUUAAGCCAGUCAGUUGCAAUGUGCAAGACAGGCUGCUUGCCGGGCCGCCCUCGGAACAUCUGGCCCAGCAGGCCCAGACUGUAUCCAUCCAAGUUCCCGUUGUAUCCAGAGUUCUUAGAGCUUGUGUCUAAAGGGUAAUUCCCCAACCCUUCCUUAUGAGCAUUUUUAGAACAUUGGCUAAGACUAUUUUCCCCCAG